UGUAACUUUACAGCCCAGCUCUGGGUUCCUGGGCUGGAAGAAAAUGUCACUUUCUGUUCACGUGGUCCUUACAUGGUCCCGCACAGAGAAUGUGUGUGGGUGCAUGUGUACACGUGCACAUGUGUAGACAUGUAUAAUGCAUGUCGAGUGCGCACCGACAUGUGUGGUAUGUUUGUGUAGACAUGUAUAAUGCAUGUCGAGUGUGUAUCCACAUGCGUUGUAUGUUUGUGUGUGCCUCUGGGUGUGUGUGUAGCAUGUGCAUAUGUGUGUACAUUGUGUAAGUACUUGUGUGUGGUUGGCAGACAUUGGCAGACACAUAUGCAUGUGCAGUGUGUUAUAUAUUACAUGCACAUGUGUAUGUGUAUGUGGUGUGUACAUGUGUGUGUGAGGAUGCAUAGGAUUGCACAUACACGUGGCUUGUGUGUGUCUGUAUUGUGUGCAUAUGACCGUAUAGAUGUGCACGUGUGAUGUGUGUGGUGCUGUGGGGAGCCCUCCAGGGUUUCAUCACUGUCAGCUCCUGACCCUGCACCCAUGGUAGGCUGCCUCGUCUGCUGGGCCCCCCCAGCACAGAGUCCUCUCAGGCCGCCCCAUCCUUGCGGGCUUUCAGAAGCCCCU
RNAcentral lists this long non-coding RNA (615 nucleotides) under Homo sapiens (human). RNAcentral describes it as "HSALNT0387488". The record is from RNAcentral. Lineage: Eukaryota; Metazoa; Chordata; Mammalia; Primates; Hominidae.